UAGGGAAUCUUCCACAAUGGGCGAAAGCCUGAUGGAGCAACGCCGCGUGUGUGAUGAAGGGUUUCGGCUCGUAAAACACUGUUGUAAGAGAAGAAUGACAUUGAGAGUAACUGUUCAAUGUGUGACGGUAUCUUACCAGAAAGGGACGGCUAAAUACGUGCCAA
Molecule: ribosomal RNA, 164 nt
Filed under: uncultured bacterium
Lineage: Bacteria
Description: partial 16S rRNA
Rfam family: Bacterial small subunit ribosomal RNA
Source: RNAcentral